Molecule: long non-coding RNA, 181 nt
Organism: Acromyrmex echinatior (Panamanian leafcutter ant)
Lineage: Eukaryota; Metazoa; Arthropoda; Insecta; Hymenoptera; Formicidae
Source: RefSeq, a predicted model, not a curated record
GACUUCUACAUCCGCUCUGUAAAGCAGAUACUCUUACUCCUGAUCCAUAUGUGACUAGAUACAAAUUCUUUUAAGUCAAAUUUAAGUGUAAAAUUACAAAUAGGAAAGAAGCAUGAAGGACAGAGGUACCUGAUCGUUUGUAAAAACACGGAAAAUAUAAAGAUCUGCGUCUGGAGCAAAA